RNAcentral lists this ribosomal RNA (253 nucleotides) under uncultured bacterium. Its description in RNAcentral is "partial 16S ribosomal RNA". It matches the Rfam family "Bacterial small subunit ribosomal RNA", at positions 524 to 776 of the family's 1533-position model. The record is from RNAcentral.
CACGUAGGGUGCGAGCGUUGUCCGGAAUUAUUGGGCGUAAAGAGCUCGUAGGCGGUCUGUCGCGUCGGUUGUGAAAGCCCACAGCUUAACUGUGGGUCUGCAUCCGAUACGGGCAGACUAGAGGCAGGUAGGGGAGCAUGGAAUUCCCGGUGUAGCGGUGAAAUGCGCAGAUAUCGGGAGGAACACCCGUAGCGAAGGCGGCACUCUGGGCCGGUACUGACGCUGAGGAGCGAAAGCGUGGGGAGCAAACAGG